GUAGAGUAGAUGUUGUACGUAAAGUGUCGCUGGAGGGGGAGGCUUCCUGCGAACGAAGGUUUUGCCGCGUUACGAUAUCGCUUCCGCUA
RNAcentral lists this non-coding RNA (89 nucleotides) under pig gut metagenome. Its description in RNAcentral is "THF riboswitch". It matches the Rfam family "THF (Tetrahydrofolate) riboswitch aptamer". From Rfam's summary of the family: THF riboswitch presents a pseudoknot that joins P1-P2 and the loop of P3 and two THF binding. The record is from RNAcentral.